This 2749-nucleotide ribosomal RNA is filed under the name Olavius algarvensis spirochete endosymbiont. It matches the Rfam family "Bacterial large subunit ribosomal RNA", at positions 1 to 2511 of the family's 2925-position model. Lineage: Bacteria; Pseudomonadati; Spirochaetota; Spirochaetia; Spirochaetales. The record is from RNAcentral.
GGUCAAGUGAAUAAGCGCAUACGGUGGAUGCCUAGGCGGUAGUAGGCGAUGAAGGACGUGGAAAUCUGCGAUAUGCCUCGAGGAGCUGAUAAACGAGCUUUGAUCCGGGGAUCUCCGAAUGGGAAAACCCACCCUGCUUGCAGGGUAUCGUUAACUGAAUACAUAGGUUAACGAGGCGAACCUGGGGAACUGAAACAUCUAAGUACCCAGAGGAAAAGAAAUCAACCGAGAUUCCCUUAGUAGCGGCGAGCGAACGGGGACCAGCCCUAAACUCUUUAUUUACCUAGCGGAACAGUCUGGAAAGUCUGGCCAUAGUGGGUGAUAGCCCCGUACGCGAAAGGUGUUUAAAGAUUAUUCGAGUAGGACGGCGCACGUGAAACGUUGUCUGAACAUGGGGGGACCAUCCUCCAAGGCUAAAUACUAACUACCGACCGAUAGUGAACCAGUACCGUGAGGGAAAGGCGAAAAGAACCCCUGUUAGGGGAGUGAAAUAGAACCUGAAACCGUAUGCAUACAAGCAGUGGGAGCAGACUUGUUCUGUGACCGCGUACCUUUUGUAUAAUGGGUCAGCGACUUACUUCUCAGUGGCAAGCUUAACCGUUUAGGGGAGGCGUAGGGAAACCGAGUCUUAAUAGGGCGUCAUAGUCGCUGGGAGUAGACCCGAAACCGGGCGAUCUAUCCAUGGCCAGGUUGAAGGUGCAGUAACAUGCACUGGAGGACCGAACCCACCUAUGUUGAAAAAUGGGGGGAUGAGCUGUGGAUCGGAGUGAAAGGCUAAUCAAGCCCGGAGAUAGCUGGUUCUCCUCGAAAGCUAUUUAGGUAGCGCCUCGCGUCUCACUCCUGGGGGUAGAGCACUGUUAUGGCUAGGGGGCCAUCCCGGCUUACCAAACCAUUGCAAACUCCGAAUACCAGGAAGUGCAAUCGCGGGAGACACACGGCGGGUGCUAACGUCCGUCGUGGAAAGGGAAACAACCCAGACCGCCAGCUAAGGUCCCAAAAUUACAGCUCAGUGGGAAACGAUGUGGGAAGGCACAGACAGCUAGGAGGUUGGCUUAGAAGCAGCCAUCCUUUAAAGAAAGCGUAAUAGCUCACUAGUCAAGUCGGCCUGCGCGGAAGAUUUACCGGGGCUAAGCUGUAUACCGAAGCUGCGGGUGCGCGUCAUUUAUGGCGUUGCACGGUAGAGGAGCGUUCUGUAAGCCUGUGAAGGUGUGCUGUAAGGCAUGCUGGAGGUAUCAGAAGUGCGAAUGCUGACAUGAGUAACGAUAAUGCGGGUGAAAAACCCGCACGCCGAAAACCCAAGGUUUCCUGCGCAACGCUAAUCGGCGCAGGGUUAGUCGGUACCUAAGGCAAGGCCGAAAGGCGUAGUCGAUGGAAAACAGGUUAAUAUUCCUGUACCGCACAUUACUGCGAUGGGGUGACGGAGAAGGCUAGACGAGCACAGCGAUGGUUGUCUGUGUUUAAGCGUGUAGGCUGAGAUCUUUGGCAAAUCCGGGAUCUCUUAAGGCUGAGACGUGAUGACGAGCACCACUAUGGAGCGAAGUCGUCGAUGCCAUGCUUCCAGGAAAAACCUCUAAGCUUCAGGUCAUGUGUGGCCGUACUCUAAACCAACACAGGUGGGUGGGGUGAGAAUCCCAAGGCGCUUGAGAGAACUCGGGUGAAGGAACUAGGCAAAAUGGUACCGUAACUUCGGGAGAAGGUACGCCCUUGCCGGUGAUCGGAUUUACUCCGUAAGCUGGUGGGGGUUGCAAUAAACUGGUGGCUGCGACUGUUUACUAAAAACACAGCACUCUGCAAACUCGUAAGAGGACGUAUAGGGUGUGACGCCUGCCCGGUGCCGGAAGGUUAAUUGAUGGGGUUAUCUUCGGAGAAGCUCCUGAUCGAAGCCCCGGUAAACGGCGGCCGUAACUAUAACGGUCCUAAGGUAGGGAUUGCUGCCUUAGUAAAAUUUGGCUAUAUGCUGGAAACUCCGAGUAUCCGUUAGUACUCGUUCAGAAUUAUUCUGUUCAGUAAAAAUCUACACGGUGCGGACAAUCAGCAGGAAAGACUGAUCAAUCGCGAUCAGAAUCCUCAGAGACUACACGCCAAACAUCCAAAUUCUUUUGGAUGAAGAUAUAGUCCCAUCUGCAUGGCGAUAUGCAGGAGUGACAAUUUUAAGAUGUCACUCGGCUUACCAUGGAGGUAAGUCAAGAUAAUCGAGCGAAAUUCCUUGUCGGGUAAGUUCCGACCUGCACGAAUGGCGUAACGAUGGCCACACUGUCUCCACCCGAGACUCAGUGAAAUUGAAUUCGCAGUUAAGAUGCUGCGUACCCGCGGCUAGACGGAAAGACCCCGUGAACCUUUACUACAGCUUCGCACUGAACUUUGAGCCUACUUGUGUAGGAUAGCUGGGAGACUUUGAAGCGUUAUCGCCAGAUUGCGUGGAGUCAACCUUGAAAUACCAGCCUGGUAUGUUUGGAGUUCUAACCUAGGUCCAUUAUCUGGAUCAGGGACAGUGUGUGGUGGGUAGUUUGACUGGGGCGGUCUCCUCCGAAAGAGUAGCAGAGGAGCGCGAAGGUACCCUCGGCACGUUUGGAAAUCGUGCUAUGAGUGCAAUGGCAUAAGGGUGCUUGACUGCGAGACAGACACGUCGAGCAGGGUCGAAAGACGGUCAUAGUGAUCCGGUGGUUCUGUAUGGAAGGGCCAUCGCUCAACGGAUAAAAGGUACUCCGGGGAUAACAGGCUGAUACCGCCCAAGAGUUCAUAUCGACGG